Molecule: long non-coding RNA, 222 nt
Filed under: Elaeis guineensis (African oil palm)
Lineage: Eukaryota; Viridiplantae; Streptophyta; Magnoliopsida; Arecales; Arecaceae
Description: long non-coding RNA (EGUI_LNC043639)
Source: RNAcentral
UGGGGUGGAUUCAAUUGAGCCACGGAUUGGGCUUCUAUGAACGAGUACUCUCGCCGACAAGGAACUACGUUGCAGGAAAACUUCUUGAGGAAGCUCGGGGAAUGUUAACCACCAAAAGAAAUAGUAAAAUUAUGGUUUGAGUUGGUUCAUCCAGAGUAAGCUCACAUUCGCCCCCAAAGAAAUAAUUGAUCUGAGAAUGCUUUGAGCCGAUCACCGGGGGAU